This 600-nucleotide ribosomal RNA is filed under the name Enterococcus faecium. Its description in RNAcentral is "bacterial SSU rRNA". It matches the Rfam family "Bacterial small subunit ribosomal RNA", at positions 34 to 609 of the family's 1533-position model. Lineage: Bacteria; Bacillati; Bacillota; Bacilli; Lactobacillales; Enterococcaceae. The record is from RNAcentral.
GGCUGGCGGGUGCUAUACUGCAAGUCGAACGCUUCUUUUUCCACCGGAGCUUGCUCCACCGGAAAAAGAGGAGUGGCGAACGGGUGAGUAACACGUGGGUAACCUGCCCAUCAGAAGGGGAUAACACUUGGAAACAGGUGCUAAUACCGUAUAACAAUCGAAACCGCAUGGUUUUGAUUUGAAAGGCGCUUUCGGGUGUCGCUGAUGGAUGGACCCGCGGUGCAUUAGCUAGUUGGUGAGGUAACGGCUCACCAAGGCCACGAUGCAUAGCCGACCUGAGAGGGUGAUCGGCCACAUUGGGACUGAGACACGGCCCAAACUCCUACGGGAGGCAGCAGUAGGGAAUCUUCGGCAAUGGACGAAAGUCUGACCGAGCAACGCCGCGUGAGUGAAGAAGGUUUUCGGAUCGUAAAACUCUGUUGUUAGAGAAGAACAAGGAUGAGAGUAACUGUUCAUCCCUUGACGGUAUCUAACCAGAAAGCCACGGCUAACUACGUGCCAGCAGCCGCGGUAAUACGUAGGUGGCAAGCGUUGUCCGGAUUUAUUGGGCGUAAAGCGAGCGCAGGCGGUUUCUUAAGUCUGAUGUGAAAGCCCCCGGCU